AUACGACCUCCCCCAGACUUAAAUUACACCGUCUCGGUGUAAAGUGCCUAGAGGUGGUGAUAAGCAAAGUUAGAUGUUUGAGAUGUUAGAGCAAGGUGUUGUACCUCUCUGUCCCGUACAUCGAUCGAUACCAUUCUCUCCGUGUCGAUCGAUGGCGAAGAACAGAUAAUUCAGCGUCAUGUCUGGAAUCUAACUCAUGUGAUCUGUUAGUGUGGUUAGCUCUGUUAGACACUCCAAACAUAAGAAAUAAG
Molecule: long non-coding RNA, 251 nt
Filed under: Brassica rapa (field mustard)
Lineage: Eukaryota; Viridiplantae; Streptophyta; Magnoliopsida; Brassicales; Brassicaceae
Description: long non-coding RNA (BRAP_LNC006842)
Source: RNAcentral